CCCUUAGAUGUCCUGGGCCGCACGCGCGCUGCACUGACAUGUUCAACAAGCCUCCUAGUUCGACAGGAUUUGGGAAAUCUUUGAACGCAUGUCGUGAUAGGGAUAGAUCAUUGCAAUUAUUGAUCUUGAACGAGGAAUUCCUAGUAAACGCGAGUCAUCAGCUCGCAUUGAUUACGUCCCUGCCCUUUGUACACACCGCCCGUCGCACCUACCGAUUGAAUGUUUCGGUGAAGAUUCCGGAUAGGACUUUUUUGAUUUAUUUCAAUUUUGUCUUAAAAGCUAUCUAAACCUCAACAUUUAGAGGAAGGUGAAGUCGUAACA
Molecule: ribosomal RNA, 321 nt
Filed under: uncultured eukaryote
Lineage: Eukaryota
Description: partial 18S ribosomal RNA
Rfam family: Eukaryotic small subunit ribosomal RNA
Source: RNAcentral